RNAcentral lists this ribosomal RNA (505 nucleotides) under uncultured bacterium. RNAcentral describes it as "partial 16S ribosomal RNA". It matches the Rfam family "Bacterial small subunit ribosomal RNA", at positions 28 to 507 of the family's 1533-position model. The record is from RNAcentral.
GACGAACGCUGGCGGCGUGCCUAAUACAUGCAAGUAGAACGCACAGUUUAUACCGUAGCUUGCUACACCAUAGACUGUGAGUUGCGAACGGGUGAGUAACGCGUAGGUAACCUGCCUGGUAGCGGGGGAUAACUAUUGGAAACGAUAGCUAAUACCGCAUAAUAUUGAUUAUUGCAUGAUAAUUGAUUGAAAGAUGCUAUUGCAUCACUACCAGAUGGACCUGCGUUGUAUUAGCUAGUAGGUGAGGUAACGGCUCACCUAGGCGACGAUACAUAGCCGACCUGAGAGGGUGAUCGGCCACACUGGGACUGAGACACGGCCCAGACUCCUACGGGAGGCAGCAGUAGGGAAGCUUCGGCAAUGGACGAAAGUCUGACCGAGCAACGCCGCGUGAGUGAAGAAGGGUUUCGGAUCGUAAAGCUCUGUUGUAAGAGAAGAACGGGUGUGAGAGUGGAAAGUUCACACUGUGACGGUAUCUUACCAGAAAGGGACGGCUAACUACGUG